This 501-nucleotide ribosomal RNA is filed under the name uncultured bacterium. RNAcentral's name for it is "partial 16S ribosomal RNA". It matches the Rfam family "Bacterial small subunit ribosomal RNA", at positions 29 to 523 of the family's 1533-position model. The record is from RNAcentral.
AUUGAACGCUGGCGGCAUGCCUUACACAUGCAAGCCGAACGGCAGCACGGGUGCUUGCACCUGGUGGCGAGUGGCGAACGGGUGAGUAAUACAUCGGAACGUACCUUAUCGUGGGGGAUAACGCAGCGAAAGCUGUGCUAAUACCGCAUACGCCCUGAGGGGGAAAGCGGGGGAUCGAAAGACCUCGCGCGAUUAGAGCGGCCGAUGCCUGAUUAGCUUGUUGGUGGGGUAAAAGCCCACCAAGGCGACGAUCAGUAGCUGGUCUGAGAGGACGAUCAGCCACACUGGGACUGAGACACGGCCCAGACUCCUACGGGAGGCAGCAGUGGGGAAUUUUGGACAAUGGGGGCAACCCUGAUCCUGCAAUGCCGCGUGAGUGAAGAAGGCCUUCGGGUUGUAAAGCUCUUUUGUCAGGGAAGAAACACCGGCUCUAACACAGUCCGGGAGUGACGGUACCUGAAGAAUAAGCACCGGCUAACUACGUGCCAGCAGCCGCGGUAA